RNAcentral lists this ribosomal RNA (415 nucleotides) under uncultured bacterium. Its description in RNAcentral is "bacterial SSU rRNA". It matches the Rfam family "Bacterial small subunit ribosomal RNA", at positions 30 to 492 of the family's 1533-position model. The record is from RNAcentral.
UGAACGCUGGAGGCGUGCUUAAACAUGCAAGUCGAACGAACCUCAGGGUUAGUGACGGACGGGUGAGUGACGCGUGAGAAUCUGCCCUCAGGAGGGGGACAACAGCUGGAGAACGGCUGCUAAUACCCCAUAUGCCGCGAGGUGAAAUGAAUUUGGCCUGAGGAUGAGAUCGCGUCUGAUUAGCUAGUUGGUGUAGGUAAUGGCUCACCAAGGCAUAGAUCAGUAUCUGGUCUGAGAGGAUGAUCAGCCACACUGGGACUGAGACACGGCCCACACUCCUACGGGAGGCACCAGUGGGGAAUUUUCCGCAAUGGGCGAAAGCCUGACGGAGCAACGCCGCGUGAGGGAUGAAGGCCUCUGGGCUGUAAACCUCUUUUAGCAAGGAAGAAGAUCUGACGGUACUUGUGAAUAAGCC